AUAGGAAUCUCUUGGGAAUCUUGUUAAAAUACAGAUCCAGAUGUCUGGGUAGGCCCACAGAGUCUUCAUUUCUAACAAGUUCCCAGGUAAUGUUGAU
RNAcentral lists this microRNA precursor (97 nucleotides) under Marmota monax (woodchuck). The record is from RNAcentral. Lineage: Eukaryota; Metazoa; Chordata; Mammalia; Rodentia; Sciuridae.